CCCAGUGGUGGUUGUAGCAGCCCUGGACUCCAGGCAGAAGCCAACUGCCCCAUCUGUCGGGAUUACAUGAGUGACCCCGUCACCAUCAAAUGUGGGCACAACUUCUGUCACUCCUCCAUCAAGCAGCGCUGGGUGGAUUUAUAGGACAGCUUCCCUUGCCUGUCCGGUGUCACCAGUGCCAAGAGGGCCACUGCAGGAGCAACACCCUGCAGGGAAGGACGACUGAAACUCCCGAGAUACUCCACAUCACCGGGAACAAAAUGAAGAGGCAGGCACCAAAGUGUUGUGCAAGGAGCACUAUCGGAUCCUGACCCUUUUCUGUGAGGAAGACCUAGAGGUGUGACGUCUCCUGUGUACUCAGCCCUCUGACCACCAGGGUCAGUCACCACUUGAGGCCCAGAGAGAAAGCUGCCUCUCAUCACCAGAAGAGGCUCAGCAGUUACAUUAAGUCUCUGGAAAGGAAAGUUGUAGACAGUGCAAAAUUAGUAGCCACUCAAGAUAGAAAACCUUUACAACUGAGAAAUAGGGUGAAAAACCAGAUACAGACAUCCUUC
RNAcentral lists this long non-coding RNA (554 nucleotides) under Homo sapiens (human). RNAcentral's name for it is "non-protein coding lnc-PPFIA2-4:1". Lineage: Eukaryota; Metazoa; Chordata; Mammalia; Primates; Hominidae. The record is from RNAcentral.